Molecule: ribosomal RNA, 324 nt
Filed under: uncultured Cercozoa
Lineage: Eukaryota; Cercozoa
Description: SSU rRNA
Rfam family: Eukaryotic small subunit ribosomal RNA (bases 105-324)
Source: RNAcentral
GAUUUCUGGUUUGGUGCGCCUGGUCCGCCCCGAGUUAGGUGUGUGAGUACCGGUGCGCGCCUACCAUCCUUCUGGGGAGCGAGUCUACCCUUUACUGGGCUGGAUUCGCGACCUAGAUCGUUUACUUUGAAAAAAUUAGAGUGUUUAAAGCAGGCUUAUUGCUCUGAAUACAUUAGCAUGGAAUAAUAAGAUAGGACUUUGGUUCUAUUUUGUUGGUUUCUAGGACUGAAGUAAUGAUUGAUAGGGACAGUUGGGGGUGCUAGUAUUCAGCGGCCAGAGGUGAAAUUCUUGGAUUCGCUGAAGACUAACUUAUGCGAAAGCAUU